This is a long non-coding RNA of Ailuropoda melanoleuca (giant panda), 394 nucleotides long. RefSeq lists it as uncharacterized. Lineage: Eukaryota; Metazoa; Chordata; Mammalia; Carnivora; Ursidae. The record is from RefSeq and is a predicted model, not a curated record. The transcript has 4 exons.
AGAAAUGGUUCCUUUAGGCAUCAGCCUUGCUGGCUCUAAAAAGUAAGGAAUCCCCAUUCCCCCACCCAGCUAGAGAGAGGCACAGACCACAGAGAAACCCCCAGGGCAGCUCUCCCUGAGGACUGCAGAAAGAGCCUGUGUUCCAGGCCUGAAUCUACAAAGAGAUGAAUAAAAUGCAGUCCAUGCCCUUGAAGAGGUCAAUCUGGCAGAGGAGACAGAUGGAAUCAUUAGCUUCGUGAUCUCAGGAACCCUGUGUUUCAGUUUUCUCGACAGUGAGAUGGGAGUACUAUCCUCUACCUUGAGAUCAGACCGAAGAGAAGGAAGAUCAGGCCCUCCAAGUCAGGGUCACCUGAGGACUCUGUUCCAAAUGACUCAAAGAGGAACUGAUAGGGGG